UAUCUCUGUAGAGUCUGCAUAUCAAUAAGCGGAGGAAAAGAAACUAACAAGGAUUCCCCUAGUAACGGCGAGUGAAGCGGGAAGAGCUCAAAUUUGAAAUCUUCAAGGUUUGACCUUGACGAAUUGUAGUUUAAAGAAGUGUUUUCGGUUAGAGGAGUGGUAAAAGUUCUUUGGAAUAGGACAUCAUAGAGGGUGAGAAUCCCGUAUUUGACCAUUCUUUCUAGCUUUGUGAUACACUUUCAAAGAGUCGGAUUGUUUGGGAAUGCAGUCCAAAAUGGGUGGUAAAUUUCAUCUAAAGCUAAAUAUUGGCGAGAGACCGAUAGCGAACAAGUACCGUGAGGGAAAGAUGAAAAGAACUUUGAAAAGAGAGUUAAACAGUACGUGAAAUUGUCAAAAGGGAAGCGUUUGACACCAGUGUUGUUUUUCCGAAAAUCAAUUAAAAAUGGAUUCAUGCUAAGUUGUAUUGACCUUAUCAGCUUGCAAUUUAGUUUUGGGUUUCUUUUUGAUGCACUUUUCGGUUAACAAGUCAACAUCAAUUUCCUUUGCUGUAAAAAGGCAGGAGGAAGGUGGCUUCAAUUUCGGUUGAAGUGUUUAUAGCCUUCUGUCUCUGCAGUCGGGGAGAUUGAGGUCUGCAGCGUAGAUCCUUCGGGGCUAGAUACAUUCGUGCUAAGUUAGUAGCCUUUUAUAGACAACUUGUUGACUAUGAUUGGUCUUGUAAUUUACUCGCGAGUGCUAUUUUACCUACGCUUAGGAUGUUGAUCUACAGAGCGAGAGU
Molecule: ribosomal RNA, 775 nt
Filed under: uncultured Neocallimastigales
Lineage: Eukaryota; Fungi; Neocallimastigomycota; Neocallimastigomycetes; Neocallimastigales
Description: partial large subunit ribosomal RNA
Rfam family: Eukaryotic large subunit ribosomal RNA
Source: RNAcentral